CGUGCCGGGUAGGAGGAAUAGGGUAGAGCUGAGGACGCGCGACGGUGGAGGACAGGGCGGAGUGGCGAUCGGCGCGUGGCGGCGGGGGGUCGGGGAACAGCGCCGAGAGGUGGCCGGACGGGGGCAGCAGCGCGAGGCGACCUGGUGGGGGGCAACGGCACGCGGCGGUGGCGGAUGUCAGCGGCACGAGGCGGUGACGGAUGGGGUGGCCGCGCGGAUGAGGGUGGGUUAACGGGGGUGUGGGCGCCGGAAGAUGACUCCCCAACCCCUCCGCCUAAGCCCCCGCCCGCUGCGCCGCGCACAGCGGCCACUGCUGCUACUUCCGUCUGUAUUAAAGGGGGGGCUGGGGACGCUUGGGAUCGUCGGCGUGUUUGCGGUGGGGGGGCGUCCGGUACCCCAACGGCGCGGAGGAGCGGAGGGAGAUGAGGUCCGGGGAGAGAGCGCGACGACCCUCAUCACCAGAGAUCGUCGACGGGAGGGGAGUCAGUAACGUAGUUAGAGGACGAGGUAGAGAGAGGUUGUAGGGGCGAGAGGAGAGCGUAGUGUGUCCGCCACCGAUAUGUAUAGACUGGCCCACACCGCACGCACCAUAGACACUGCACGAAGCGGAUGGCCAACAGGGACUACACACGCCGACCUACACGUAGGGACAAAUACACACACCGCGAAAUGUACGUCUCCUUCACUUACCAACGUUCGUCUCCUUCGACAACCGGCAACCGUUUCCUCCUAAUCCUAUCAAGAGAACUAGAACCAGUCUUUUUAACCAUCAAGGGAACUAAACAAAACAAGACUUAAUCAUGUUUUCACGUGACUAUAAACAAAACACGACGUCCUCGAAGUUCUGUGGUCCAUGGUUAACGUUGAAAGUAAAUAGACAACACACUUGGUUAAACACUACCGAAGAUUUGUGUGAACCGACCUUGUCUCGUUAAAAGAUAUCAGAAGUCGCUGCUACACCACGACGUGACGACGAGAGAAUGACGAUCGAACGAUGAAGAUCGAAUUAAAACGAUAACGACGAUCGACUUAAAACGUAUCCGUACCGUUCGACAAACCAUGCAUAUGUUUACUACGACAAUAAAAACAAUAACGAGUGUGGGCCGGCGGGUGCGAGUGCCGGUCACGACGUCUAAAGCACCGACCGGUCGAAUAGGAGUUACACAAGACUGAGCCUCCAGCCUCAACUUCGACUGUUGCCUGAGUUCGUGAGGUGGUAUAAGAAUCAUAACGUAUGGCAGUGGCGACUCCCCAAUCGGUUCGACGAAAAUCUUCAGUAUAUUGUUAAUUCACGAUCUAUAACAGUGUCUAUCUAAAACUACCUAUACUUAAAUUAUUCGAUGUUUCGUCACAUCCAGCUCUACUUGUCUCUUACCAUACGUAUUACACAUUGUUAUAAACUAUGUAAAUGUAACUAUCCAGACCCUAGCAACCUCCCAACAUACGAAAACUAACUAAUUCGAAUUGUGAAGACGAGUGAGUAAUAAAUGAGACAUAAGUAGUUUUUUAUAAAUAAAAAAUGAUAUAGUAUAGUAUAAGCUGUCUGUCUCCGUCUCUGCUGGUACCAAGAUCGAUUAUCGUGAACGAUUGAAUUCUUCAGAUGUAUGGAAAAUAGAUUGAUUUUCUCUCAAAGAAUGGUUGAUAACUCGGAUGUUCGAAAUCUACAUACAGAGAUUUCGGUGAUGAGUUGAAGUACAAUCAUGAAAAGACAUCUCGUAUGGAGGUAUUAAGAGGUAGAUUCUAUCAUGAUUUCAAAUAACUACUACGAAUCAAAGUCCUAUACGGAAUGUUCGGUAGGUACACUCUUUAGGUUCUCCAAGUUCCGCAUAACUUUUCCUCGACCUCAUCCAUCCACCACCUAACUCCUUCCCAGACCUCGUCUCCGCCUUAGCUCCGACGGGGAUGUACGCGAUUCCUCGACGUUCCGCGGACACUAGGCCUGUGACGAUACAAAAGAGGAAGAGAGGUCCAUUCGGGAGUCGUCGUGGAGAGCAUGGGGGAGGUAGGCUUAAGUCGUCGCGUGUUGCUGUUGUCAUCGGCUGCAGGAGGAGUAGGUACUUUGAGGGUUGAAAAAACGAACAAUGUUGGGUGUAGUAUGUGCCAAGACGUAACACCACAAACACGGUUUCAAGUUUUAACGUAUUCAAGAACGUCCUGCCCUUUCUUGUAUUUUAAACACAAAAGUCAGUGUUCAGACGAGGGGUAACACCUAUCGCAGUUUGACUUACACCACUUGUCCACGCUCUGUAUUAAAUCACCUCUACGUUCUACUUUCUACCUUGUACUACGAAGUUUAGUCGUAUUAAUAUUCCUAAUGAUUUAAAGAGUUCCUUUAGUUACGUCGCCACUAUUUAUAUACAUUAAUGUAAAAAAAAGGCUCUUAUACAUUAACGUACAUAUCGUAGACAAAACUUGACAUAAAAUAUACGGUAAAUACAUAGUACCACCUUGUGUUUUAAAUUUAUCUUUUCUUAUCCUCAUUGAUUACAUAUAGAACGAUAAAGUCUAUAUAUAGAUACGCUGAUAUAUGAAUGGAUUUCAUGCAUGUUACGUAUGACACCUUAGUAUGUAGUUUAUAAGUACGAAUUGAUUUAUAAGACGUUCAAAACAAACGGCGACGAGCCAGUUCUUUUCGGAUAACGAGCGGUGAUACACGCCAAGAGAACCGUAAAGUACCCCACGUUGGCCUUCACCGUGUUCUGACAUCAACACAGCAAGAAUUUAAAUGACUACAACUACAAAGAAAAGUUCUAACAUCAUAACAAAUGGUUAAACCAGGGACCCAAUACAUGAGUAAAGGAAAAGAUAACAAACAUUCAUGAAACGAAACCAAGUAGCUUGAUGGACGACUUUAUACACAUAACAAAGAGUUAUAUAACCCGUAGUUAGGUGGAGAGUACUCUAGAGACUUAAAAGCUGCGUAUAACAUAAACGACUUAAUAAAGGAGGUCUAUUGAUACGAACCUAAGUGUUUACACACGUUACGAAAGUUCGUCACUAUUCAAAAAAUGAAUUCGACACGAUAAGGUGAAAGUUCAAAAACCAGGAUCUUCACAUUAUGAACCAUCCAAUCGACGUAUAUUCACCUUACAUAUACCGGACUUAAAUGUAAAGUCUCACAUAUUAGACUAAGUCUCAUAAAACUGAGGAACGUAAGACUUUAUAAAACAACAUAUCAAAACAGGACUUUCUUAUCUUCGUUAACAAGAUACCCUCUCUUAUAUUUGCAAUAAGAGUUUGUUGUACGUUGUAGUAAAAGAAUAAUGGUUAAAUUUGUACCAGUCAUUAUCGUGUUGACUUCAAACACUUUUAUAGUAAUUUUACCAACCAACCUAACACAAAACAUACCUAAGAUAUUCCCGGUAAAAGUACCUUAAUGUUUAAUCGAAAUGUAAAAAUACCGACACGAGUAGCAGAAACCUAACGGGUGCAAGCCUACCCAAACACUAUUUACCUGUGGUACUGGUGGUAAUCAUCCUACCCUUCCUCCCACACACUAUAAAAAAAGAAAAAGGCAACGUUGCGUGCACGUAAAAACGAUCAAAUAUUAAAAUUAUUAUUUCGUGCCUAACUCAUACAGCCCAAGUGGCAGCACCUCAAAAGUGUUUUUUUAGGGACUUCAAGUAUCCUUCGUUGGGCGUCAGGGAAACAUUCACCUAAACUUUUUUGCAAAGCAAAAAUGUAUUUUGAGAGAAUUGUAAGCCAUAUAAGGUACGCGUCACGAGGAGGGGGAGGUCACAUAAGUUGGGUGCCACAUAGAAUAGGCGAGGGGAGGAUCGUGCCGCCUCCUCCUCUCCCACUCCCCGCCGCGGCGUGAGAGGUUGAAGACAGAUGUGUGGUGGAUGCGCGGCAGCAGGCAGGCCCACCAGCCGCCGCCGAUGGCGCGGGGCCUCCACCGCAGAUGAGGGACCCGCACGAGGACGACCUCGAGGAGUACCGUUCAGGGGCUGCGUGCGCAGUCCCGCGGCCGCUGCAUGCAGGAGGAAGAGAAGAAAGUGCUCUGCCGAGGCCCGAAGCUGGUUUAGGGCGGGUUGAGCGGGUCUAGCUCCGGAAGUCCGAAAACACCUUAGGAGCAAGUUGAGAGGCGGAGAUGGUCUAGGUGCGACUCCCCGAAGCCGCGGUAGGGGGCCACACUAAAGGAGUACCCAGGGCCGAACUAGCUCCGGUUUCCGAAGCCGGCAGGCAGGUGGUACCGACCCUGGACGCGCCUUUGACAUCUACUUAAAUAUGCUCACCUUAGCUGUGACGCCGUCCCAUGCCACCUCAGUGUAACACGUCGGAGCCACAGGGUUAGUCCCUAAGGAAGAUUCCUACGUAUAUAAAACUUCCCACUCCCUAUUACUAAACCAAUUUCCGGAAGCCGGAGAACGAAGUGACUUGUAAACACAGGUAGCUGGUUCAACGUAUAUGCCCUCUUCUAUUCGUUCAGGUUUCACUACAAGAUCGACCCGGAGUUGUGGAACAGGGAGACUGGUGUUGCGGGUUGGUACUAGACCAGUCGUUGGUUAACAUUGUGAUACGGAUCCAAGACUAAUAUAGAUGAACUACGUCUAGUGUACUCGUCUCCCCAAGUCGUUGAGAAUGAUGAGGACCGACACUUUCGAAGACGAAUGGACGAAUAGGUACCAGAAAAACUCGGUAGGUUUAACGUUUUGCGUUCAGUGGUUGUGGUUCUUAGUCCAAGGACGGUCUCCUUGGGUUUCGUCUCGUUCUCUUCCUUUUGUUGCCACUUCUCCAAGACAACCUCUUUCCCGACGUAGUGUAUGAACGGUGGUUCCGGUACAACAGCUCCUCGGACACUAACGGCGAGGUCGACGGAGAGCGCGGUACCGGGUAGCGCACCCCACGUAACACUCUCAGACGUAGUCCGGGCGCAACGGAGAGGUCGUCACUACGUCGUGAGAUCCAUUAUCAAUCAUAACCACAGUUGCUCUCGUUGAUCUCAGCGAUCGACAAUACGAUUUUCGUUGUCCUACGUAGAAGAGGUACGUUCUUCUGUUAUUCCUAUUUCGUCGUUUCUCGUCCGGCAACCACCACUACCUAUUAAAGAGAUUAGUUAAUUUAGCAUCUACGGGAGGUCGUAACGUGUGAUUCUCUAACGUAACGAAUCUAUAUUACCUUCCACUGAAGUCAAAAGUUCUUUCAACUCCACAGCACUAACAAUAAAAAAAUACGUUGUUAAUGGAUUCGAACGGACCGUUCAUAUGUAAGACUUAACAUACAAGUCUACUAUAAGUGUAUAAAUCUGACUUAGCAAUUUAGAUCGUAUAAAUAAAAAGAGUGGAUUAUUAAAACUAAUACUACAUAGGGUA
RNAcentral lists this ribosomal RNA (5312 nucleotides) under Triticum aestivum (bread wheat). Its description in RNAcentral is "partial small subunit ribosomal RNA". Lineage: Eukaryota; Viridiplantae; Streptophyta; Magnoliopsida; Poales; Poaceae. The record is from RNAcentral.